GAACAGGUUGAGAGGAAUCUGCGUUAUUUAUUAAACAUAAAAGAUGCUCAGAUAGUGAUAUAUUUCCAAACAGUAACUAUAUUUACUUUUUGUGUGUUCAUGAAUACAGGUUCACAGGUGACAUUAAGGGUCGCGGUUCUGAGUGUACCUUGCUCAGAUUAAUUGUGCUAAGGAGGCUGGGGGGGGGAGGGAGGGAUUCCAUGGGCAUGUAUUGAUGGAUUUUAUAUCACUUUUUUUCUGACCCACAGCCAGGAAAUUAGGUAGCACUCUGGACUGUUUGUGGGGCCACAAAAUAGGGUGCAGCCCUUUGUGAAUAUUACGAUCUUGAAAGAACAGUUUCAUUGAAUAUUUACAUGUAAUUUUUCACAACGGCAAAGCAUCUUCAAAACAGAUGCCUGUUAAUGAUGAGUAAUUCCUCUUUUAGAAGUGUUUGAAGUGAAUAAGGCUAAUUCACAUGGCUGAUCCCACAAAAUAGGGAUUACAUCUUUUAUAUGAAAACUGCAUUUUAAGCAAAAUGAGUUAACUUUACCUUUUGAGCUAGAAUGGCUCUUCUGUUUCACAGAAAGACAUUGUAGUGGAAAGCUUAUGACCACUAAUAAAGCAAAAACCGUCACACUCAAAUGUUUAGGUAGUCUGCCAUAUACGCAAAGGUAUUUGCAGUGAUUUUUGCUUUGUUUUUGAAACAAAACCACAUGAUAAUUUAUUUCUGCUGAGGUGUAAAUAAUUUAGUUGAACCAUAGAAUUCAUCGUCUAUUAUCAUGUAUUAUAAUUUCAUAUUUGAAUUAGAAACAAAAGAAAAACACUUCCUUGUGCAGGGCAUGUAAAGAGCUGUAGCAGCAUUUAGAAACCUUGGGAAGUGAGAGCCUGUGCGACAUGGGCAUAGAGAGAAAGGCAAUCGAGGACCAACAACUCAAGACUGAAGAAAUGUCUUGCUUGUUGGUGAGGCUGAUACAGUUGUGGCUGUCUCUGGAGUCACACUUCCUAGGUUAGAGGUUGUUCUCCAGCCUCUUGCCUGUAUUUUGGCCUGAUGCUUCAGAUGUAGCUGACCAUCUCUCUGUCACAUGAGGGCUUUGCAGAAAAGCUUGCAAUGCUAAGUUGUCGAUGCUUGGAAUACUUACAAACCCUAUAACAGGAAGUGUAAUUGGUGUAAGUGCUGAACAGCUAUAAAUGCUGAACAAGUCUCACAUGGAGAAUAAGAGUUUUGACAUGAUUUCUGGAACAUGGGUUUCAGAAUAGUUCAUGAGUAACUCAUGAUGAAGCCACCUUUCCUCAUUCAUUCCAGUUCCUGAAAGAAACAGUAAACAAAUAGGAGUAGUUCAUAUCUGAAGUUUUCCUCGCUUCUGUACUCAUCUGACACAUUUCCUCCUGCUGUUUCUUCUGCUGUGUUCAUACGGAGAUCAUCUGGGCACCAUGCUGCUGAAAAAUCUCUCUGUCCUCCAGGACUCAAUGUGGACAAAGUCAGCAAAUUCAUUGCUGAUCAGAUCACUUUUACAGACUGAAUAGCCUCAUCUUUUUCUGAAAUGGAGAAGAGCAUGCUUGCUUAAACUAUGCUACAGUGGUGAAAAAGGGAGUUUUUAGAUAUGCAGAAUGAAAUGACUAGCAAAUGAAGGUUACCUUUCUCUUUGGGAAAAAUUAAGUGCCCAUUCCUCUCUGGAAGCAGUGCUUGGAUUGUUGUGGUUUGCUGGUGAUUCAAUAAUCAAAAUCUUAUUUGUAGUGUCUUUGUAGCAGACUGCACAGACUGCAGUUAUUCUUCCUGAAGCAGAAAACCACAACUAAGGGACUGUAAUAUGAAGAAAGAGUGGGGGAUGGAAGAAAAAUGAAAAGCUAGAGCAUACCUUUGUCCAAGGUUUUCAUUCUUGUCUAACCUUUCCCAUCAUCUCUAUCCUUAUAAUUCUUUCAGGAGAUGAUAGAACAAUGUCCUCUCUGACUACAGAAAAGCACUCUCAAAUUUCCGUACCACUACUUGAAGUGUGGUGAUGCUUUUAAAGCAGACAUUUUCCGUGGCCUUAACUGCUCGCAGGUCUGUCCUAAACCUGAAGUAGCCACUGUGCAUACCUAAUUUGUGGUACAGCCACGACUGACUUGAUUUUACCAAGCUAUCUGAUCUCAAACCCACCCACAAGCUGGAAGGCAUAGAGUGAUGUUAAGCAGACCCACUUCCUGAUCCAUCAUAUAUGGCAGAAAUAUACAUCAGAAUACAAGCAAAGAAAUUAAAAGUCCGUGUCAUUCCCUACCCUGGAGGCUGAAGUGCACUUGAGCCUGGUCCCUCUGCACCAUCCUCAUAACCUGCAUUUGGCAAAAUUCUCAGCUUGUUCCCCCAGUGUUGUCGUUGUAGAAGAGAGCGGUAGUCUUUGAUUUAUUACUGUUGAAACCACUGACAUGCUGAAAAACAGGUACCGUCUCCAUAAACCUUCCAACAUUACCGAUUCUUGCUACUGGCUUUUUGCCCUUGAGGGUGGCUUCUGUGAUUACAUUUCCUGUGUCCCUGCAAUUUUUCAGGCUGGGUAUAUUGGCAAAAAAACUUUCAGGAACUGUGAUCCUAAAUCUAACCAUGAAUGUUUGUGGGUUUCUUUUCUUUUGAGUUUCUUUCUUGCCUGUGGUCUUCCUCAGUCUUCUUAGCUUGCUUUUUACUGCCUUGCAAUCAGGGUGGUGGGGAAGUACUGAUAAAGACAGAGGAGAAGACCUUUGACAUUAGAAGGUUUUUAAAUUAUGUGGAAAGAUGUUUAAAUAAGAGGUUCAAAGGGGGCUUUACCAACUUGUUAUUGGGUAAAUUGUGUUGCUAUUUAGGAUUUAGUUGUUUGGGGCUCCUCUGCUGCUGUAAAAACAGUUAUGUUCGUGUUAUUCAAAUCAUACCAGUGAACAUAAACACAAAAAUGAAUAGGAAAUGAAGAUGAUUUUUUUGUAUGUUAAUGUACUUAAAACAUGGGAAACUUAUGUUUAAUUACUUACACUUUUUAACAGGAUUCACAGUCCUUUCCCCCACUGACCUACUCUUUGUCCACUGUAUCAGGACAGGCUCACCCAGGUUGGCAUCGCUCUUCCUAAUGAAGUUGGCCCAGUAGUCAGAAUAGAACUGAAGAUCUGUUGGGUGAAGUAGUACAAGAAGUAUUAACAACUGUCUAGAAAAAUGGAAUCCAUUAUCAGAAACUUAAAUCACAUUUUUAUUGCAUUUAAAGUGUUCAAUAUUAAAAAUGUUGAAACAAAAAUGGUUGUUUCAUACAUAUUUUGAGUUAGGCAUUGAACAAAAUACAAGUUGCUGAGUAAUGAUACUGCUGAUAGACCUGCAGGAUAUAAGUACGUUGAAGUGUACAGAUGUAAUCAGUGAUGUAUUUAGUGAAAUGUAUAGCAAAUAUAUCAGAACAGAAAUAUUUUUUUUACCACUUAGUCUAUAACUUGUGAUUUUGUCAUUAUUAGAGUUCCUGUGAGAGCAGUUGUACUGUAAGAGAGUUACAAAUAUUUAAACUUUGCAGAAGAGUUCGUUAAGUUUAUAAUUAUUGUGUGAAAUUCCAUAUUAUGCUACUAAUUUGCUCUCUUUUAUUUUAUUCCCUGUUGCUGCGUUGCUUCAGCCAAGACUUGCAGAACUAAGCCAACCCCUGGC
Molecule: long non-coding RNA, 3598 nt
Organism: Strigops habroptila (Kakapo)
Lineage: Eukaryota; Metazoa; Chordata; Aves; Psittaciformes; Psittacidae
Exons: 4
Source: RefSeq, a predicted model, not a curated record